CAGCAGCCACGGGAAUACGAAGGGGGCUAGCGUUGCUCGGAAUUACUGGGCGUAAAGGGAGCGUAGGCGGGUCGUUUAGUCAGAGGUGAAAUCCCGGGGCUCAACCUCGGAACUGCCUUUGAUACUGGCGACCUUGAGUAUGGGAGAGGUAAGUGGAACUCCGAGUGUAGAGGUGAAAUUCGUAGAUAUUCGGAAGAACACCAGUGGCGAAGGCGACUUACUGGCCCAUUACUGACGCUGAGGCUCGAAAGCGUGGGGAGCAAACAGGAUUAGAUAUCCCCGUAGUCCCUGUCUCUUAUAC
This 301-nucleotide ribosomal RNA is filed under the name uncultured bacterium. RNAcentral's name for it is "partial 16S ribosomal RNA". It matches the Rfam family "Bacterial small subunit ribosomal RNA", at positions 509 to 807 of the family's 1533-position model. The record is from RNAcentral.